RNAcentral lists this unclassified non-coding RNA (1277 nucleotides) under Leishmania donovani. Its description in RNAcentral is "gene:unknown". The record is from RNAcentral. Lineage: Eukaryota; Euglenozoa; Kinetoplastea; Trypanosomatida; Trypanosomatidae.
GACAGGCGAUGCUGCGCCUCAGCGCACGCCCCCGCUUUGGAUCUAUCUGCCAGUUUGCGUCGUUGCGUCUCUGUGCGUGUAGCGGCAGUGAUGAGGUCUGAAGGCGUGUGUCGGCUGCACGCGUUGCUCCUCACUUCCUCGCUUUUGUGUUUCGCUUCAUUCGUCUCGUGAAGAACGAAAUUGGAGGGUACGGAAUCAGCAGACGAACGUGCGAUUAAACGUUAAGGCGUCUCCUUUCUCAUCUUCUCUUCUUUCCCAGCUAUGCGUCUCUGUCUGCCUCCACUUUCCCGUGCUGUCACGAUGCCCUCUUUUCCUGUGCUCCGUCUCUUCAGUCAUCUUUACGUGUCUCUUUUACGUGCCCUCUCUCUCGCUUGCUUGCUUGCUCGGGUGCGCAUGUGUGCGUUCUGUUCUUGUCCAGCCGGUGCGAUGAACCACGGUACGCUUUAAAGGCUCUUUACCCCCCCCCCCCCCCCCCCCCCCCCCCCCCGCAUGCACGUGUGUAUGUGCACGUUUGUGGAAUCAAGACGAAGAGCAGCAACACCCAAGACAGCCAAUCAACACGCAACGACCACGACCACCACAAGGCUUGGUGUACAGUGACAUCUCCUCUUUCUGGUCUUAUCGGCGUUUUCCCUUUUUUGCUUUGUGCGGCUGCUCUUUUCACGGCUUCUCCUUCCCUUCGCUUCAGGCCUUCUGUCGCUUCGGUUUUACAUGCAAGACGGACGUAUACGCACACCGAUACGCGCCAACACGCAUACACAUAGAUGCCCGCAAAAGCAUGUGCACUCCUUCGUUCUUUUCUUUUUCUCUGUGUAUGCGUGUGUGCGUGCAUGAUGUUCACGGAGCGUUUUGUGAACGCUGCCGACUCCUGUUUUCCUUUUCCUUUCCAUGUUGUUCCUUGCCUAUUUGUUGUAUACAUGUCAGCGCUAUAUCGUGCUGAUCGUUUUUUUCUCCUUUUAAACGGAUACGUUGCACGUGUGUGCGUGUUGGGGCUCGUGUGCUGUCGAGGCUUCUACUUUCACAUUCACGUAUUUAACAUCAGAUGGUCAUAUGGGCCCACGCAUCAGCGUAUGCGUUUGUGGUGCUUUAUCUGCUAGCGCCACAUGUGCCCCUUUCCCCACAUAUUCAGCCGUCUUUUGUGCGGAUCCCAUAUGCUAGCAUAGACAUGCAUCAACCAAGGUCGAAGGAUGGCGUAUCUGGACUCUCUUCUUCCUCCCUCCUUCUCCUUGUUUCCCGCGCCUCGUACGUACGAUCACGUCCCCGCUGCACUGAAAAAG